Molecule: ribosomal RNA, 450 nt
Filed under: uncultured bacterium
Lineage: Bacteria
Description: partial 16S ribosomal RNA
Rfam family: Bacterial small subunit ribosomal RNA
Source: RNAcentral
GUGGGGAAUUUUGGACAAUGGGCGCAAGCCUGAUCCAGCAAUGCCGCGUGCAGGAAGAAGGCCUUCGGGUUGUAAACUGCUUUUGUACGGAACGAAACGGUCCUGGUUAAUACCUGGGGCUAAUGACGGUACCGUAAGAAUAAGCACCGGCUAACUACGUGCCAGCAGCCGCGGUAAUACGUAGGGUGCGAGCGUUAAUCGGAAUUACUGGGCGUAAAGCGUGCGCAGGCGGUGCUGUAAGACAGGCGUGAAAUCCCCGGGCUCAACCUGGGAAUUGCGCUUGUGACUGCAGUGCUGGAGUGCGGCAGAGGGGGAUGGAAUUCCGCGUGUAGCAGUGAAAUGCGUAGAUAUGCGGAGGAACACCGAUGGCGAAGGCAAUCCCCUGGGCCUGCACUGACGCUCAUGCACGAAAGCGUGGGGAGCAAACAGGAUUAGAUACCCUGGUAGUCC